This 332-nucleotide ribosomal RNA is filed under the name uncultured Glomus. Its description in RNAcentral is "SSU rRNA". It matches the Rfam family "Eukaryotic small subunit ribosomal RNA", at positions 569 to 905 of the family's 1831-position model. Lineage: Eukaryota; Fungi; Glomeromycota; Glomeromycetes; Glomerales; Glomeraceae. The record is from RNAcentral.
AGCAGCCGCGGUAAUUCCAGCUCCAAUAGCGUAUAUUAAAGUUGUUGCAGUUAAAAAGCUCGUAGUUGAAUUUCGGGGUCAGUAGAUUGGUCAUGCCUCCGGUAUGCACUGGUCUUACUGGCUCCUCCUUCCUGAUGAACCGUAAUGCCAUUAAUUUGGUGUUGCGGGGANACUGGACUGUUACUUUGAAAAAAUUGGGUNUUUAAAGCAGGCUAACGCUUGAAUACAUUAGCAUGGAAUAAUGAAAUAGGACGUUCGAUCUUUAUUUGUUGGUUUCUAAGAUUGACGUAAUGAUUAAUAGGGAUAGGUUGGGGCUAUUAGUAUUCAAUUGU